Molecule: ribosomal RNA, 1125 nt
Filed under: uncultured fungus
Lineage: Eukaryota; Fungi
Description: eukaryotic LSU rRNA
Rfam family: Eukaryotic large subunit ribosomal RNA (bases 514-1125)
Source: RNAcentral
AAGUCGUAACAAGGUUUCCGUAGGUGAACCUGCGGAAGGAUCAUUAAAGAGUGUUUGAGAUUUUUUAAAUCUCUACCUCCCACCCUUGUGUUAAGAGUCUGUGUACUCUACUUUGGCAACUAAGUCAAAAUUUGGCGAGGGUGCCAUAGUGAAACUUUCAAAACUCUGUUAUCAACUUCAGUUGUCUGAGUAACUAUAAAAUAUAUCAAAACUUUCAACAACGGAUCUCUUGGUUCUGGCAUCGAUGAAGAACGCAGCGAAAUGCGAUAAGUAAUGUGAAUUGCAGAAUUCAGUGAAUCAUCGAAUCUUUGAACGCACAUUGCGCCUUUUGGUAUUCCGUGAGGCAUAUCUGUUCGAGCGCCGUUUUCUAUCUCAAGCUAUAUAGCUUGGUGUUGAGUAGAGUCAUUAGACCCUAUUUAAAACUUAUUGGCAAUCAGUCUUAUAAGUCGGUAGUUUGACAAAAAUCUAGCUACAUGUCUCAAGGAUUAGAUUUGCAUAUCAAUCUGAAAAUGAUGGCCUCGGAUCAGAUAGGGUUACCCGCUGAACUUAAGCAUAUCAAUAAGCGGAGGAAAAGAAACCAACAGGGAUUGCCUUAGUAACGGCGAGUGAAGCGGCAUCAGCUCAAAUUUGAAAUCUGGCAACAGCCCGAAUUGUAAUUUGUAGAGGAUAGUUUGGCUAAGGUAUGGGUCUGAGUCUUCUGGGAAGAAGCACCUUAGAGGGUGAGAGUCCCGUAUUAGGCCUUAUUCCAAAGCCAUGUAAACUUCCUUCGACGAGUCGAGUUGUUUGGGAAUGCAGCUCAAAGUGGGUGGUAAAUUCCAUCUAAAGCUAAAUAUUGGCCGGAGACCGAUAGCGCACAAGUAGAGUGAUCGAAAGAUGAAAAGCACUUUGAAAAGAGAGUCAAACAGUACGUGAAAUUGUUGAAAGGGAAGCGCUUAUGAUCAGACUCGUUUACAGUUGCUCAGCCGUCAGGCGCAUUCUUCUGUAUUUGGGCCAGCAUCAAUUUCGAGGGUUGGAUAAAAACAUUAGGAAUGUGGCUCUGCGGAGUGUUAUAGCCUUUUGUAAUACAGCCAUUCGGGAUUGAGGUAUGCGUCUUCAUGGAUGCUGGCAUAAUGGUCAUCAGCGGCC